This 453-nucleotide ribosomal RNA is filed under the name uncultured bacterium. RNAcentral's name for it is "bacterial SSU rRNA". It matches the Rfam family "Bacterial small subunit ribosomal RNA", at positions 28 to 406 of the family's 1533-position model. The record is from RNAcentral.
GGUGAACGCUAGCGGCGUGCCUUAAGCAUGCAAGUCGAACGGUGGUAGCAAUACUACAGUGGCGGACGGGUGAGUAACGCGUAGGAAUCUACCCUAAAGUGGGGGAUAACUCGCCGAAAGGCGAGCUAAUACCGCAUACGAUCAGGGAGCAGAUAUCAGUAAGCAGUUAGCAAUAGAAUCUUGGGAAAUUAGCUUUCUCAGAACUUUCUUGCCGCUCACGGCUGCCNGCUUUCUGUUCUCUGAUGAAAGCCCUUAACUGGGCGCUUUAGGAGGAGCCUGCGUCCCAUCAGCUUGCUGGUAGGGUAAAAGCCUACCAAGGCGACGACGGGUAGCUGGUCUGAGAGGACGACCAGCCANACUGGGACUGAGACACGGCCCAGACUCCUACGGGAGGCAGCAGGUGGGGAAUAUUGGACAAUGGGCGCAAGCCUGAUCCAGCGAUGCCGCGUGUGU